UGUAAUCUUAAUUUGGCUUCCGAUAAUUUUCUCCUAUAUAGUUGAUUCUUCCUUCUUGCAGUUGAUACAAAAUUCAGUGCUUUUCGCCGUUGACAGUUUGUAGCCAAGGAAGGUGAUACUGUGACACCUGGGACUAAGGUUUCUGUGGUAUCCAAGUCUUCUCCUAGUGGCACGCAUGUUGUCCCAUCAGAUGAUAAAGAUGCUCGACCACGAUCACCUCCUGCUGGUGCUCCCCAACCAACUCCUUCAACAGAGAAGAUUGACAAACUGAGUGCUUAAAGAAGAAGGUUCAACCAAAGAAAAGCCUAAAGUAACCUCAGAUGCAACCCCCAAAACCUCACCUUCAGAACCUCAGUUACCUCAUUAAGGAAAGGGAAAGAGCUGCUUUGUUUCUGGACUCCAAAACCAGCCAAUCAUCAAUGCGAUCAUCAAUGGGGAUCCGAUGUUAUAUAUAGAAACUGCAUCCGAAUCAGUACAGCUGUUGGCACAACCAAGGGCGUUGUGGUUCCACACAUCAGGAAUGGAUAGAGAAAGAGAUGAAGCAACCUUGCAAAGAAGAAGAUUCCUGAAGACGACUCCGUUGGAAAUCCGACUGAUAUUGUCCCAUUGUUUGCAAAGAAAGAGCUAUCUUUCCAUAUCUUGUGACUCCACCUAACUCCAUAGUGUCUUCCUCUUUUCUGUAAUCUGCCAUCUUGGGCAUGCACUCACUCCAUAGUGUCUCGUCCGAUGGUGUCCAUUGCUCCGACUUAUGAUCAACCGUCUUCUUCUUGCGA
Molecule: long non-coding RNA, 773 nt
Organism: Musa acuminata AAA Group (dessert banana)
Lineage: Eukaryota; Viridiplantae; Streptophyta; Magnoliopsida; Zingiberales; Musaceae
Exons: 3
Source: RefSeq, a predicted model, not a curated record